RNAcentral lists this ribosomal RNA (1100 nucleotides) under Aquifex sp. Aq-1-70-1%O2. Its description in RNAcentral is "bacterial SSU rRNA". It matches the Rfam family "Bacterial small subunit ribosomal RNA", at positions 50 to 1105 of the family's 1533-position model. Lineage: Bacteria; Pseudomonadati; Aquificota; Aquificia; Aquificales; Aquificaceae. The record is from RNAcentral.
AACACAUGCAAGUCGUGCGCAGGCUCGCUCCCUUUUGGGAGCGGGUGCUGAGCGGCAAACGGGUGAGUAACACGUGGGUAACCUACCCCCAGGAGGGGGAUAACCCCGGGAAACCGGGGCUAAUACCCCAUAAUGCCACCCGCCACUAAGGCGUGGUGGCCAAAGGGGGCCUCUGGCCUUUGGCCAUGCUCCCGCCUGGGGAUGGGCCCGCGGCCCAUCAGGUAGUUGGUGGGGUAACGGCCCACCAAGCCUAUGACGGGUAGCCGGCCUGAGAGGGUGGCCGGCCACAGCGGGACUGAGACACGGCCCGCACCCCUACGGGGGGCAGCAGUGGGGAAUCGUGGGCAAUGGGCGAAAGCCUGACCCCGCGACGCCGCGUGGGGGAAGAAGCCCUGCGGGGUGUAAACCCCUGUCGGGGGGGACGAAGCGGCUAUGGGUUAAUACCCCAUAGUCGUGACGGUACCCCCAGAGGAAGGGACGGCUAACUUACGUGGCCAGCAAGCCGCGGUAAUACGUAAGGUCCCGAGCGUUGCGCGAAGUCACUGGGCGUAAAGCGUCCGCAGCCGGUCGGGUAAGCGGGAUGUCAAAGCCCACGGCUCAACCGUGGAAUGGCAUCCCGAACUGCCCGACUUGAGGCACGCCCGGGCAGGCGGAAUUCCCGGGGUAGCGGUGAAAUGCGUAGAUCUCGGGAGGAACACCGAAGGGGAAGCCAGCCUGCUGGGGCUGUCCUGACGGUCAGGGACGAAAGCCGGGGGAGCAAACCGGAUUAGAUACCCGGGUAGUCCCGGCCGUAAACCAUGGGCGCUAGGGCUUGUCCCUUUGGGGCAGGCUCGCAGCUAACGCGUUAAGCGCCCCGCCUGGGGAGUACGGGCGCAAGCCUGAAACUCAAAGGAAUUGGCGGGGGCCCGCACAACCGGUGGAGCGUCUGGUUCAAUUCGAUGCUAACCGAAGAACCUUACCCGGGCUUGACAUGCUGGGGAGACUCCGCGAAAGCGGAGUUGUGGAAGUCCCUAGGACUUCCCCCCAGCACAGGUGGUGCAUGGCCGUCGUCAGCUCGUGUCGUGAGAUGUUGGGUUAAGUCCCGCAACGAGCGCAACCCU